UACGGAGGGGGCUAGCGUUGUUCGGAAUUACUGGGCGUAAAGCGCGCGUAGGCGGAUCGGAAAGUUGGGGGUGAAAUCCCGGGGCUCAACCCUGGAAUGGCCUUCAAAACUCCCGGUCUUGAGGUCGAGAGAGGUGAGUGGAAUUCCGAGUGUAGAGGUGAAAUUCGUAGAUAUUCGGAGGAACACCAGUGGCGAAGGCGGCUCACUGGCUCGAUACUGACGCUGAGGUGCGAAAGCGUGGGGAGCAAACAGG
RNAcentral lists this ribosomal RNA (253 nucleotides) under uncultured bacterium. RNAcentral describes it as "partial 16S ribosomal RNA". It matches the Rfam family "Bacterial small subunit ribosomal RNA", at positions 524 to 776 of the family's 1533-position model. The record is from RNAcentral.